ACUGCAACACCACUGAAACUUCUGUGAGUCGUUUCUUCCCCUUUCAGAGACCACUGAGAACACCGAAAUAACCAGAACUUCCCCAUUUAUAAUUAUAUAGAUGUGAACAGCAGUCUCUGACUUAGCGCUUAAGUUCAGAGAACCUAACUCGCAUUGAGCUCAGAACAAGAAUGAAGCAAGUGAACCACGCUUCCUUUUUCCUGUCUGGAAAAGGGAUGUGGAAAACUGUGGGGCUGUACACCUUUUUCCGGAUGUACGCAGACUACUGCAUGAUUGUCUAAAAGGAUGCACGAAAAGAUUAUUCAAAUUCUGGCUUAUAUAGGACAAGCCACUAAAUAUUUUAUCAGUAUGCUGUGCCCAAGAACAAAUAAUUGGCCAAUAUUAAAAUCGUACGCUACUUUUUUUUUCUAAAUGAAUUGAAAAUAAAACUAAAAUCAGUAGUUUAAAUGCUACAAACGAAUUUAGGCAACAAAGCAUAGUGUAAAGUAUGAAAAAUGUAUAUUAAUUUUACAUUUA
Carassius carassius (crucian carp) is the source of this 516-nucleotide long non-coding RNA. RefSeq lists it as uncharacterized. The record is from RefSeq and is a predicted model, not a curated record. NCBI's taxonomy places the organism in Eukaryota, Metazoa, Chordata, Actinopteri, Cypriniformes, Cyprinidae. The transcript is spliced from 3 exons.